RNAcentral lists this long non-coding RNA (899 nucleotides) under Scleropages formosus (Asian bonytongue). RNAcentral's name for it is "lncRNA (ENSSFOG00015024790.1)". Lineage: Eukaryota; Metazoa; Chordata; Actinopteri; Osteoglossiformes; Osteoglossidae. The record is from RNAcentral.
AUGGGCCCGGCCUGGUGGGGAUGCAGAUGUCUGCUGCAGGGGAAUUGCUUGACGGGGCCUGCCGAGCAGGUAGGCCGGGGGAAUGUUUGCAGGCAGGGGCCGAAGGUCCACCGGAGACAGAACAACGGGGGCACCGGACGCACUUGGGCCUCGCGGAGCCACCAUUCGACAAGCCGCGGUGUCAACGAGCUGUGCAGAAGGAGGAGAGCCGCGAGUUCAAAUGAAGCAACAAAAUGAUAAGAGCGAAGUGGACAGCCUUGGAAUUUCAAAGUCAAGACAAGGUGACAAGAAACAGCGCAACCAUUAGUUUGGUCCUCGCGCCAACCUGCUUCGCCGCGGAUUUCCUCAGCCUCCCACUUGGUAAGGCUUUGCCUAUGAAAAGGAAACUCAUUUUCUCUUCAGUUAAAGAUUAAUAUGAAGUCAGCCUGAUGAAAUAUGGGCUCUCUCUCUCUCUCUCUGUGUGUGUGUGUGUGUGUGUGUGUGUGUGUGUGUGUGUGUGGGGCCGUGUGUCUCAUCUCUCACAAGUGUGUUUUUAUUAUUAUUGAAAUUACAUGAGAAAUUAGUCAUGGUGUGUAGCUCAGUCAUCAUUCAACAAUUAAAAAAUGUCCAUUGAGACACAGUUUUGUGAAUUAUGUUUAUUCAUGUAGCUGAUCCUUUUCUCCAAAGGAACUUAUAAUAUGAAGGUUACAAUUAUUUACCGAUUUUUUUUACAGGUGGCUAGUUUUACUGGAGCAAUUUAGGGUGAGUACCUUGUUUAAGGGUGCUACAUCCAGAAGCAGGGAUCAAACCUGAGACCUUUAGAUCUGAAAGUGACAGCUCUAACCAUGACGCUUCCUACUGUCUCUUAGAGGUAGCACAUACCCUGAAUACCCUUAGAGGUAACAUUUUGUAUAAUCCCC